RNAcentral lists this ribosomal RNA (468 nucleotides) under uncultured bacterium. RNAcentral's name for it is "partial 16S ribosomal RNA". It matches the Rfam family "Bacterial small subunit ribosomal RNA", at positions 28 to 507 of the family's 1533-position model. The record is from RNAcentral.
GACGAACGCUGGCGGCGUGCUUAACACAUGCAAGUCGAACGAUGAUGCCAGCUUGCUGGUGGAUUAGUGGCGCACGGGUGAGUAACACGUGAGCAACCUGCCCCUGACUUCGGGAUAACCGCGGGAAACCGUGGCUAAUACCGGAUAUGACGCGCUAUCGCAUGGUGGUGUGUGGAAAGAUUUAUCGGUUGGGGAUGGGCUCGCGGCCUAUCAGCUUGUUGGUGGGGUGAUGGCCUACCAAGGCGACGACGGGUAGCCGGCCUGAGAGGGUGACCGGCCACACUGGGACUGAGACACGGCCCAGACUCCUACGGGAGGCAGCAGUGGGGAAUAUUGCACAAUGGGCGCAAGCCUGAUGCAGCGACGCCGCGUGAGGGAUGACGGCCUUCGGGUUGUAAACCUCUUUCAGUAGGGAAGAAGGCCUUCGGGUUGACGGUACCUGCAGAAGAAGCGCCGGCUAACUACGUG